This 652-nucleotide ribosomal RNA is filed under the name uncultured archaeon. Its description in RNAcentral is "bacterial SSU rRNA". It matches the Rfam family "Archaeal small subunit ribosomal RNA", at positions 78 to 731 of the family's 1478-position model. The record is from RNAcentral.
AAGGCAUACGGCUCAGUAACGCGUAGUCAACCUACCCUAUGGACGGGGAUAAUCUCGGGAAACUGAGCAUAAUACCCGGCAGACCACUUAUCCUGGAAUGGUUAGUGGUUAAAAUGAUUCGUCGCCAUAGGAUGGGACUGCGGCCUAUCAGCUUGUUGGUGAGGUAAUGGCCCACCAAGGCGAUUACAGGUACGGGCUCUGAGAGGAGAGGCCCGGAGAUGGGUACUGAGACAAGGACCCAGGCCCUAUGGGGCGCAGCAGGCGAGAAAACUUUGCAAUGUGCGAAAGCACGACAAGGUUAAUCCGAGUGAUUUCUGCUAAAGGAAUCUUUUGUUAGUUCUAAAAAUACUAGUGAAUAAGGGGUGGGCAAGUUCUGGUGUCAGCCGCCGCGGUAAAACCAGCACCUCAAGUGGUCAGGAGGAUUAUUGGGCCUAAAGCAUCCGUAGCCUGUUCUAUAAGUUUGCGGUUAAAUCUAUACGCUUAACGUAUAGGCUGCCGUAAAUACUGUAGAACUAGGGAGUGGGAGAGGUAGACGGUACUCGAUAGGAAGGGGUAAAAUCCUUUGAUCUAUUGAUGACCACCUGUGGCGAAGGCGGUCUACCAGAACACGUUCGACGGUGAGGGAUGAAAGCUGGGGGAGCAAACCGGAUUA